UAGGGAAUCUUCGGCAAUGGACGGAAGUCUGACCGAGCAACGCCGCGUGAGUGAAGAAGGUUUUCGGAUCGUAAAACUCUGUUGUAAGAGAAGAACGAGUGUGAGAGUGGAAAGUUCACACUGUGACGGUAUCUUACCAGAAAGGGACGGCUAACUACGUGCCAGCAGCCGCGGUAAUACGUAGGUCCCGAGCGUUGUCCGGAUUUAUUGGGCGUAAAGCGAGCGCAGGCGGUUUGAUAAGUCUGAAGUUAAAGGCUGUGGCUCAACCAUAGUUCGCUUUGGAAACUGUCAAACUUGAGUGCAGAAGGGGAGAGUGGAAUUCCAUGUGUAGCGGUGAAAUGCGUAGAUAUAUGGAGGAACACCGGUGGCGAAAGCGGCUCUCUGGUCUGUAACUGACGCUGAGGCUCGAAAGCGUGGGGAGCGAACAGGAUUAGAUACCCUGGUAGUCCACGCCGUAACGAUGAGUGCUAGGUGUUGGAUCCUUUCCGGGAUUCAGUGCCGCAGCUAACGCAUUAAGCACUCCGCCUGGGGAGUACGACCGCAAGGUUG
RNAcentral lists this ribosomal RNA (549 nucleotides) under uncultured bacterium. RNAcentral's name for it is "bacterial SSU rRNA". It matches the Rfam family "Bacterial small subunit ribosomal RNA", at positions 355 to 896 of the family's 1533-position model. The record is from RNAcentral.